UACGUAGGGGGCAAGCGUUGUCCGGAAUUAUUGGGCGUAAAGAGCUCGUAGGCGGUCUGUUGCGUCCGCUGUGAAAACUCGGGGCUUAACCCCGAGCCUGCAGUGGAUACGGGCAGACUAGAGGUAGGUAGGGGAGAAUGGAAUUCCCGGUGUAGCGGUGAAAUGCGCAGAUAUCGGGAGGAACACCGGUGGCGAAGGCGGCUCUCUGGGCCUUACCUGACGCUGAGGAGCGAAAGCGUGGGGAGCGAACAGG
RNAcentral lists this ribosomal RNA (253 nucleotides) under uncultured bacterium. RNAcentral's name for it is "partial 16S ribosomal RNA". It matches the Rfam family "Bacterial small subunit ribosomal RNA", at positions 524 to 776 of the family's 1533-position model. The record is from RNAcentral.